RNAcentral lists this transfer RNA (73 nucleotides) under Planctomycetia bacterium. RNAcentral describes it as "tRNA-Ala". It matches the Rfam family "tRNA". Rfam says of the family: Transfer RNA (tRNA) molecules are approximately 80 nucleotides in length. Their secondary structure includes four short double-helical elements and three loops (D, anti-codon, and T loops). The record is from RNAcentral. Lineage: Bacteria; Pseudomonadati; Planctomycetota; Planctomycetia.
GGGGCUAUAGCUCAGCUGGGAGAGCAUCGCGUUUGCAACGCGAGGGUCGUCGGUUCAAGUCCGUCUAGCUCCA